This 497-nucleotide ribosomal RNA is filed under the name uncultured bacterium. RNAcentral describes it as "partial 16S ribosomal RNA". It matches the Rfam family "Bacterial small subunit ribosomal RNA", at positions 28 to 507 of the family's 1533-position model. The record is from RNAcentral.
GAUGAACGCUGGCGGCGUGCCUAAUACAUGCAAGUCGAGCGAACGGACGAGAAGCUUGCUUCUCUGAUGUUAGCGGCGGACGGGUGAGUAACACGUGGAUAACCUACCUAUAAGACUGGGAUAACUUCGGGAAACCGGAGCUAAUACCGGAUAAUAUUUUGAACCGCAUGGUUCAAAAGUGAAAGACGGUCUUGCUGUCACUUAUAGAUGGAUCCGCGCUGCAUUAGCUAGUUGGUAAGGUAACGGCUUACCAAGGCAACGAAGCAUAGCCGACCUGAGAGGGUGAUCGGCCACACUGGAACUGAGACACGGUCCCGACUCCUACGGGAGGCAGCAGUAGGGAAUCUUCCGCAAUGGGCGAAAGCCUGACGGAGCAACGCCGCGUGAGUGAUGAAGGUCUUCGGAUCGUAAAACUCUGUUAUUAGGGAAGAACAUAUGUGUAAGUAACUGUGCACAUCUUGACGGUACCUAAUCAGAAAGCCACGGCUAACUACGUG